AGAACGAACGCUGGCGGCAUGCCUAACACAUGCAAGUCGAACGAGACCUUCGGGUCUAGUGGCGCACGGGUGCGUAACGCGUGGGAACCUGCCUUUAGGUUCGGAAUAACUCCUCGAAAGGGGUGCUAAUACCGAAUAAUGUCUUCGGACCAAAGAUUUAUCGCCUUUAGAUGGGCCCGCGUUGGAUUAGCUAGUUGGUGGGGUAAAGGCCUACCAAGGCGACAAUCCAUAGCUGGUCUUAGAGGAUGAUCAGCCACACUGGGACUGAGACACGGCCCAGACUCCUACGGGAGGCAGCAGUGGGGAAUAUUGGACAAUGGGCGAAAGCCUGAUCCAGCAAUGCCGCGUGAGUGAUGAAGGCCUUAGGGUUGUAAAGCUCUUUUACCCGGGAUGAUAAUGACAGUACCGGGAGAAUAAGCUCCGGCUAACUCCGUGCCAGCAGCCGC
This 446-nucleotide ribosomal RNA is filed under the name uncultured bacterium. RNAcentral's name for it is "SSU rRNA". It matches the Rfam family "Bacterial small subunit ribosomal RNA", at positions 26 to 518 of the family's 1533-position model. The record is from RNAcentral.